UAAGGAAUAUUGGUCAAUGGACGCAAGUCUGAACCAGCCAUGCCGCGUGAAGGAUUAAGGCCCUCUGGGUUGUAAACUUCUUUUAUAGGGGAAGAAAUGUGACGGUUCUCCGUCACUUGACGGUACCCUGGGAAUAAGCACCGGCUAACUCCGUGCCAGCAGCCGCGGUAAUACGGAGGGUGCAAGCGUUGUUCGGAGUUACUGGGCGUAAAGAGUGCGUAGGCGGUUUUCUAAGUUCGGUGUGAAAUCUCCCGGCUUAACUGGGAGGGUGCGCCGAAGACUGGGAAGCUGGAGUGUGGGAAAGGCAGGCGGAAUUCCUGGUGUAGCGGUGAAAUGCGUAGAUAUCAGGAGGAACACCGGCGGUGUAGACGGCUUGCUAGACCAUAACUGACGCUGAGGCACGAAAGCGUGGGUAGCAAACA
RNAcentral lists this ribosomal RNA (422 nucleotides) under uncultured bacterium. Its description in RNAcentral is "bacterial SSU rRNA". It matches the Rfam family "Bacterial small subunit ribosomal RNA", at positions 355 to 774 of the family's 1533-position model. The record is from RNAcentral.